This 802-nucleotide long non-coding RNA is filed under the name Zonotrichia albicollis (white-throated sparrow). Its description in RNAcentral is "lncRNA (ENSZALG00000011148.1)". Lineage: Eukaryota; Metazoa; Chordata; Aves; Passeriformes; Passerellidae. The record is from RNAcentral.
GGGGUUGGGAAUGGGGACACUGCUGGGUACAGAGGGGACACCCAAAUCGAGGGGCUCACACUGUGUCCUUCAUCCCCCAUGGGACUGCCUGGUGGGGGUGGCUGCCCAGGGAUUGGGGUUCCUGCCCUGCCCUUGGUGGCUGUCACCCUUCUCAGGGUCCCCACUGGUGAUGGCUGUUCAGGGGUGUCUGGGGCUCAAGCCCUUCCCUCAGCUCAUGCAGGUCCCCUGUGUGGCUGGUUCCUGGUGGGGUCCCUGAUGUGUCCCCACCCUGCAGGGGCAGGAGAAGCUGAGCUGCAACCCCAAGAAGGAGAACGGGACCCACGUGGUGCUCUGCGAGCUGGGCAAUCCCAUGAAAGCAGGAGCCCGGAUCACCGUGGACUUGGAGCUGAGCGUGUCUGGGCUGGAGGACAUGGGGGAUGCCAUCACCUUCCACUUGCAGCUGCGCAGCAAGAACAGCCCCAGCCCCAGCCACGGCUCGGUGACGGUGACAGUGCCCGUGGAGGCAGAGGCAGAGAUGGAGCUGCGAGGCAACUCCCUGCCUGCCACCAUGGUGCUGCCCACGGGCUGGCACAGGGUGCGGGGCAGUCGGCGGAUCGAGGACCACGGCAUGAGGCUGGAGCACGUCUACGAGGUGAUUUCGGGGGAUGUCCCCUCUGUCCCCUCCCCGGAGCCAUCUCCUGUGCCUGGCAUCACCCACCGUCCUCCCGCAGCUCCACAACAAAGGUCCCGGCACCGUCAGCGGGGUCACCCUGAGCCUCGCCGUGCCCCAUCGGCUGGGGGAGCACGUCCUGCUCUACCUGCU